GUGGUGCGAUGUUGGCUCACUGCAACCUCCACUUCCAGGUUCAAGUGAUUCUCCUGUCUCACCCUCCCAGGUAGUUGGGACUACAGGUGCACGCCACCAUGCUUGGCUAAUUUUUUUGUAUUUUUAGUAAAGACGGGGUUUCAUCACAUUGGUCAGGCUGGUCUCAAACUCCUGACCUCAGGUGAUCCACCUGCCUUGGCCUCCCAGAUUGCUGGGACUACAGGCGUGAGCCACCAUGCCUGGCCUGUGACUGCUUUCAUGUUACAGUAGCCGAGUGGAAUAAUUGUGACAGAGACAAUAUAGCCUACAAAGCCUAAAAUAUUUACUAUCUAACCCUUUUCAGAAGAAGUUUGCAGACCUCUGGACUAGAGGUAUCAGGAUCUCCAAUCAUGGAUAUGGGGAGAAGGUUAAAAGGCUUUUAUUUGUCAGAUUUUUAUUUUCUCUUUUAUCUAAUUCUGUUACAUCUCCCUUAGAAAGUGACCCAGCCCAAUGCCAGCCAUGUAAUAGACCAUCAGUAAUUCUUAUUGUUAAAUUUGUCUUCCUUGACCUAGUCAAUGUACAUCACAAGCCCUGAGUCAGAACUCAUAUGGUAGUAUGGUGUCAUGUAAAGAGUCAGGGCUUUGGUGCCAGACAGGCUUCCUGAGUGUGUAGCUUUGAGCCCUUUAACGACAGGCCUCAGUUCACUUAAUGGGAAUAGAAUUGUGAGACUGUACCUAGAGUGCCCCAUGCUGGGCCUAAAACAUGGGACAAGUUCGAAAAAUGGCAGCUGCUAUUAUUACUCUUCCUCAUUUGAAGGCUGACCUGGCAACCAAAGUGGAAAAGAUGAGACAGAGCAUCCUUGAAGGAAUCAACAUGAAUCAUCCACCGCCUUCUGCUCUACUUCCGUCACCUACUUUUGUGCCUCCUAUGGUGCCCUCUCUCUACCCUGUUUCACUUUAUUCCCGAGCUAUGGGCUCCAUGCCACUUCCCCCUCAAGGGAGGAGCCGGGGAUUUGCAGGUCUCCAUCCAAUCCCACCCCAAGGAGGAAAACUGGAGAUUGCUGGAAUGGUUGUGGGCCAGUGGGCUGGCAGCAGAUCCUCCAGGGGCCGAGGAUCCUUCGGCAUGCAAGUGGUUUCUGUCGGUGGGCCAGGAAAGGGGCAUGGAAAAGAACAGACUGGUAGAGGAUCCAAGGGACACAAAAAAGGAAAUAAGCAAGGCUCUUCAGAUGGAGUUUCUAAAUCCCUGGAGCUUCAUCAAGGUCGGUCUCGCUCCCAGGUAAAUGGAAACAGUGGCGCAUUGAUCAAGGAAGAGAAGAGUGAUUAUCGUCUUCCAGCUCCAUUACAAUGUGCCUUAUCCAGAGACAGCAACGAGUGUAAUAAUGGUAACCGCUACUUCCCUAUGAAGAAUAGGGAGAAGAACCACUUACAAGAGCAAAAGCUAGAAACUGUGGCACAACGGAAAGAGGACUGACAAGCUGAAGAUGGCUUCACCAAACCAGGAAGAGGGAAAAACUUUUACUUUUCUGAUUUGAGGCCCAAGCUAGAGGAGGAUAUAAAUGCUUACCCUAGAUUUCUCCAGGAUUUUGGUGGGAUGUCCUAUUUUGUCCAUCUUUUCCCCUUCCCUGCCUUUUUCUGGGACUCCAGAUUCAGUGGUCUGUUUCUGGAGAAGUUCUGGUCAAAGAUGAAUGGCUAGCUCCUAGUCUCAAAUUGAAUACAUAGCACCAAUAGUUUAUUUAUCUCCUCUCGGAGCCUAGUAAGGCAGUAGCUGUCAGAAAUUGGGUGUCAUCACAUAAGGUCCUAUAGAAAAGUUCCAGCUUUGGUUUUUCUGAGUGUUUAUAAUGAUACUCAUUAUCACAGACUUACAUGGUAAACCUAUGAGGUUGUGGGAACAGCUGUGGCUUCCUGAGGUUUUGUUGUUUUUGUUUUUCUAUGAAGUGGUAUCUACCUCUUCUUCACUCCUUCUUCCAACUUACCUACCCCUGGAUUUUGUACCACCACCUCUAGCUUUGGCCUGACAAUCAGAUAGGUAGAUGUUUUCAGAAAAGUAAGGUAGUAUUAUUUUUUUUUAUACACUUCAAAAAAAUUAUCAAUGGCCUUUGUACUGGAGGAUUCAAGUGAAUCAGAAAAGUACUGGGCAGAUUUUUCCUGCCUCUCAACCAGUGCAUUGUUUGUAAAAUAGAAGAUGUGGCACAGUUCAUUCACUCCCUACUGCCCACACUAUUUAAGGGUGGGAAUCAGUGUAAUGAACUUGAGUACGAAAGGGACUCAAAAGACUCUGUGUGUGUGUGUGUGUGUGUGUGUGUGUGUGUUUGUGCGCGCGUGCGUGUGUGUGAAUGUGUGGGUGGGUGUAUAUAUGAAUGUGUGUAUAUGCAUACACAUACCCUUUAUAUAAAGAGACAGAUCUAUUUAUCUAUACAUUUUAUAUAUAUGUGUGUGUAUGUGUGUAUAUAUGUGUGUGUAUAUAUACACAUACAUACAUGCUGAUGUCCCAGAGGAUUUACUCAAUUUCCCAGAAAUGCUUCCACUGCUAUGGAGUGGAAGGUUUCAAAAGACCACACUUUAAAUCUGAAAUUCUUACUAAGUCACAGCCCAUCACAAUUAUGAGAAGUUGGAUGGGCUUCUCUAAAUCAGACAAAAGUACUUUCCAGAAAUUGCCUGUUCAGAACAACAAACUCUUGGGUUGUUACAAGCUUUAUCUUGAACAGAGCCCUCACAUCCCGUAUGGUGAAAACAGGAGGUUGGAAUGGGAUUGGGAAGAGUUGGGCAUUUCCUUAUGAAGGUUUGGAGAGAAAAGAGGGGAUGGGAGGUGACUACCAUUUGAAAGGGCUUUCAGCCAAUUUGGAGGAAAUCUCUUCUGGAACUCCAGGGUCAAAUUGGUUUCAGGCUAGAAUUGAUUGACAUGAAUCCCUGAAGGAGAGAGGACUAGCUUUGGAAAGAUAGGGUAGGGAAGUGUGAGGAAACUAUUUGAUUUUACACGCCUAGAUUGUUUCAUUUGUUCAUUGACAUUCUGACUACUGGAUCUUUUCAUUUGCUUUGCAAGGAAGACUUUAGAGGACUCUGGCCUGGGCCUUGAGAAGAAUUCUAUUAAAAGAUUCUCAGCCUCCUGUGUGACCAGGAUCUGCCCAGGAUAAAGAGGUUAUUCCUCCUUGCUGGAGAUAAUCUUGAGACAACCUUGCAUUUCCAGUUUCCCUCCUUGGACAGCCUAAGUAUGAGGGAGGGAAACAUGGCUUGCAAUAAAUUAGCAUUAUGUCUUCAUUCAGGAAUUGAGGCUUCCAGCCUCACAUACCUCCUUUUGGGCUUUGUGGUAUUCUCGCCCAAGAAGUACCAUUUCUACAGAAAUACAACUGACUAAUCUUCUAGCAGGGUUCUUUUGAAAACCCCAUGCACCUUAACCCACAGCAGGUCCUUGGUGAUUUUUGCCCAGACAACCAGAAGGCUAUUUGCUUACUGCCCACUUACACUGACCAGAUCAUAGGAAAUUGAAAACAGCAUCAGACUAUUUAGUUCUAGUCUGUCCCAGAUUAAGAGAAGCCAUGAUUUUCAUGGGGAGGGAGCCCUGGAAUGCCUUGACCGCUGCCCAGAUACUUCUUACAUAAACCAAAGAAAGAUGACAAGAGUGUACUUUUAACCAGACAGAAGUAGAAACAAAGUAUAAAGAAACCUCCUCUUUGGAAUCAGCUCCCCUAAUGUGGUACCCCUUCUUCUCUUGGACCUGCCCAACCUUUCACAACAUCUUGAAGGUAGGACUUCUAUGUCCAGCAAAGGAAGGGAUAGUAGUAAAUUUACAUGGCUUGGAAUUUUCUUUCUGGAGCCACAGAGGGAUGAAUCCUUUGGAGCUCUAAGAGCAACCAGCAUCACUGAGCUGUGAGAUAACUUAUAUCUCCAUUUUCUAAUAGGAAGCACUUGGACUUAAAAUUGCUAAGAUACUGUUUGCAGUUGCUGUUUCUGUGCAUCUUGAAUCUGUCUGACACAAUCAGAUGACAGUAUUGUUAACUCUCACACCAUUAAGAAAAUUUCUUACUUUGUAGGCAUUCACUGUGAGAGGUAAAAUUGCUGCUUUGGCAGGGAUGAUUCCAGCUUGCCAAAAGGCUUUUCUUCCUUCCACAACUUUUUUCCCCUAGCCCAGGGUGAAACAAGUGGGUCAUCGCCAACCUUGGUUUUUAUUUGGAUUCAGCAUUUUGGGUUCGGAAGGUUAUAAGAAAGAACCAUAAAUGGCCAUAUUCCUAGAUUUUAUUUAUCUGACAAAAUACACAACUUAGAAGCCAGGAAAACUAAGGUUCAUUACUAGGAGAUGAACUUUUUCUAAUUGGAGGACAAAUUGUGGGAAGGUGGAGUCUGAUCUUUGCUGCACCACUUGAAGAGACUGUCAUCCUUCACUUGAGGUUCCGUUUCUAGCUGUGAUGUGACCUCUCUUGAACAAAGUCAUUUGGGAACCCCCAGAAAUGACCCCUUUACAUUGUAGGACCAUAAGCAAAACACUCUGGUUGUGUAUAGUCACUGAUCCCCAAGGACUUGCAGUUUUUUAUUUCUGCUGGUGUGUCUUGGGAUCAGCUUAUAACUCCUACUCUUAGUCAGUGACCAGUCCAGUGUGGUCUGGACCAGGCCUGACAAACUUCUGCUCACUUGCAUCAUUUUCAUUCUGAGCCAGUAGGACUUUGGGUAACUUUAAAGCCCAAGAAUUGGUACUCGCUUUGGCUAGUGACAUUUGAUUUUUGUCUCCAUCUUGAUUUCUGACAUUGUUGGCCAAGUCACAUUAACUUUUUUUGAUCACUGAGAAAAACAGUCGAACAAGGCAUUAUGGAGGGUGGUUGAGAUGGAGGGUGGGGGGCAGGAGUGCUUAUGUAGGGUAGAAAGAAUGUGGGGGUAGCUGUUUGGUUAUGGUGAUCCAGUCCUUUGGAACCUUACAAGGCUCCUGUGGGCAUGUCAGUAUUACCAUUACAGCCUCUACGACCCACCCACCUUUGAAAAGUCAGUACAAGUAGACCACAGUUUAAAGUAGUUAGUAUAAUUCUACUAAGGUUUAAUCAUUAUACUUGUUCACUUCCUGAUGCAUAUUUCCUAAAUAUGCUUGGGGUUUGGGGUAGGGGGUUGAGUUUUCACUGUUCAUUGCGUGUCAUCUUAUAUUUUUCUCCAUCCUGUGACUUUGGCAUCUUAUUCGACUUUGUAUUUUCUUUUCCCUUGGCUUAUUGCAGUAGUCUGCUGGUGCAGGUAGAGAGCUCAGUGCACCUAUUCCCCUGUUACUGCUAAUUAUCUUGAAUAUUGUCAGAGGUUAUUUUGAUGUUCUAAGAAUAUAAAGUCAUUUUUUACAAAAUCAUCUUUUCCAAGUUAAAAGCAAAAUAAAAAAAUCUCCUGUGCUAGGGUGCCCAUUUCAGCUUUUGACAUUGCCCCUGUACUUUUAUGGAUGCUCUUUUUGUCCGUGUUGGUAGUAACUAAUGACUAGUGAAUUUUCAUGUAAAUGAAGCAAAAUAAAUAUUUCAGAUUUUAUUAAUCUCUCAUAACCCGGCCAAAUCUGAUGACUUCAUUUUAAUUGCUUCCCAGAAGGCACUUCCCCUCCUACUUUCUAUUCUAUUCUAUUCUAUUCUAUUCUAUUCUAUUCUAUUCUAUUCUAUUCUAUUCUAUUCUAUUCUAUUCUUAAUCUGUUCUAUUCUGUUUUUAGAAUAACACACUAGGUAAAGAAACUUUAACUGCAAGGAGUCAGUGACUUUUAGUGCUCCCUGAUAAUAUCAAUGAUGUUAUUGACAAAAGUAAAAAAUUAUUUCAUUGUUUUUUUCCUGUAUUACUAUCUCCUCUCCUGUGCUCUUGACAGUGUGUUUAGUGGAUGGAUAAUAUGUAUUUCUCUUUCCCAUUCCCAGAUUCCAAAUUCCCUGCCUUUUUGGCCCACCUCACCACAAAAGCUCCAUAGUUUAUUAAUGUAAGUUUGAAUGGAUGCUUCUUUGGGGAAACUGCAGGUGUUAAUGGAAGAGUUUCAGAAAGGAAUGAGAAUGCCUCAGGAGUUGUUCUGUGAUGGAAAUUGGUCUGUUGUUCUGUUAAUGCGGAUGGAAAGAAACUUACAACGCUUAAUAAAAAUCUAUUCUUUUAGUAAAAAAAUUUGUGAA
Molecule: long non-coding RNA, 6073 nt
Organism: Rhinopithecus bieti (black snub-nosed monkey)
Lineage: Eukaryota; Metazoa; Chordata; Mammalia; Primates; Cercopithecidae
Source: Ensembl